RNAcentral lists this ribosomal RNA (256 nucleotides) under uncultured bacterium. RNAcentral describes it as "partial 16S ribosomal RNA". It matches the Rfam family "Bacterial small subunit ribosomal RNA", at positions 96 to 353 of the family's 1533-position model. The record is from RNAcentral.
UGGCGGACGGGUGAGUAAUGUCUGGGAAACUGCCUGAUGGAGGGGGAUAACUACUGGAAACGGUAGCUAAUACCGCAUAACGUCGCAAGACCAAAGAGGGGGACCUUCGGGCCUCUUGCCAUCGGAUGUGCCCAGAUGGGAUUAGCUAGUAGGUGGGGUAACGGCUCACCUAAGCGACGAUCCCUAGCUGGUCUGAGAGGAUGACCAGCCACACUGGAACUGAGACACGGUCCAGACUCCUACGGGAGGCAGCAUG